RNAcentral lists this ribosomal RNA (253 nucleotides) under uncultured bacterium. RNAcentral describes it as "partial 16S ribosomal RNA". It matches the Rfam family "Bacterial small subunit ribosomal RNA", at positions 524 to 776 of the family's 1533-position model. The record is from RNAcentral.
UACGUAGGGUGCAAGCGUUGUCCGGAAUUAUUGGGCGUAAAGAGCUCGUAGGCGGUUCGUCGCGUCGGCUGUGAAAUCCCGAGGCUCAACCUCGGGUCUGCAGUCGAUACGGGCGGACUGGAGUUCGGCAGGGGAGACUGGAAUUCCUGGUGUAGCGGUGAAAUGCGCAGAUAUCAGGAGGAACACCGGUGGCGAAGGCGGGUCUCUGGGCCGAUAUUGACGCUGAGGAGCGAAAGCGUGGGGAGCGAACAGG